GAUGAAGAACGCAGCGAAAUGCGAUAAGUAAUGUGAAUUGCAGAAUUCAGUGAAUCAUCGAGUCUUUGAACGCACAUUGCGCCCCCUGGUAUUCCGGGGGGCAUGCCUGUCCGAGCGUCAUUGCUGCCCUCAAGCACGGCUUGUGUGUUGGGCCCCGCCCCCCGGCUCCCGGGGGGCGGGCCUGAAAGGCAGCGGCGGCACCGCGUCCGGUCCUCGAGCGUAUGGGGCUUCGUCACCCGCUCCGUAGGCCCGGCCGGCGCCCGCCGGCGACCCCCCUCAAUCUUUUCAGGUUGACCUCGGAUCAGGUAGGGAUACCCGCUGAACUUAAGCAUAUCAAUAAGCGGAGGA
RNAcentral lists this unclassified non-coding RNA (348 nucleotides) under soil metagenome. RNAcentral describes it as "partial contains 5.8S ribosomal RNA, internal transcribed spacer 2, and large subunit ribosomal RNA". The stretch from base 1 to 120 matches the Rfam family "5.8S ribosomal RNA", at positions 35 to 154 of the family's 154-position model. The record is from RNAcentral.